This 382-nucleotide ribosomal RNA is filed under the name uncultured bacterium. Its description in RNAcentral is "bacterial SSU rRNA". It matches the Rfam family "Bacterial small subunit ribosomal RNA", at positions 521 to 896 of the family's 1533-position model. The record is from RNAcentral.
UAAUACAGAGGAGCCAAGCGUUGUCCGGAUUGACUGGGCGUAAAGCGCACGCAGGCGGAGGCGCGCGUGGGGUGUGAAAUCUGGCCGCUUAACGGCCAGGGGCCAUCCCAUACGGCGCAUCUGGAGCCGUGCAGAGGUCGGUGGAAUUGCCGGUGUAGUGGUGAAAUGCGUAGAGAUCGGCAGGAACACCCAGGGGGAAACCAGCCGACUGGGCACGUGCUGACGCUGAUGUGCGAGAGCGUGGGGAGCGAACCGGAUUAGAUACCCGGGUAGUCCACGCCGUAAACGAUGGCCACUCGGCCUUUGGGAGCGGAACCUCCGUUCCUGGGGGCCUUAGCAAACGCGGGAAGUGGCCCGCCUGGGAACUACGAGCGCAAGCUUA